AUAUAAUGCGACAGGCUGUUGUAAUUGUAGACUACAGAAUUAACGUGCGCUCUUCAUCUGAGAGAUACGGUGCACGCCCCUUUAAUGAACACGCACUAACUCUGAUUAAGUUAACACCGACUCAACUGACCCACAUCUGAACCACCAUCGUACCGUUUAACACAGAUCGAGGCAGUCAGGGUUUGUCAACCCCGACUUUACCUGAGAACCUGAGUUGAACCAGAGGAGGUUCAGCUCUCUUUGUAGGACAGAGCUCAGGACUCAGGACUCAGGACUGAAACUCCCUGUGACCUGUGAAGAGUCUCACACCUGAACCUGGACCUGCUCAUGCUGCUGCUGGGGGAUUUCCCAUGAUGCACUGAGCUCCUGUUGUUCCUGUGUCUCUGCAGCUUCACUCAGUUUUAAUGCAGCAGUGUAACGUGCUGUUUGUUGUUAUUAUUAAAUAACUCCUGUGAGCAGCUUCUGCUACGCUGAACACAAACAGGAGGCUUUUCAUCGGCUGUGGUUUCCUUUUCCUCCUCGCUGAGUUCAUCGCUCCUGCUUGACCUCCUCUUUCUCCUCCUCCUGCUCCUCCUCCUCCUCCUCCUGUCUGAACUGCGUCCGUAGAGUUUAACGCUCGUCGUCACGUGAUUUCUCAGAAACAGAAGUGAAAGCAGUGAAGGAGUAAGCUGUCGACUGCAGACGGUUUGAACGCUGAAGACUCAACACAAACAGUCUCUUCGUCUCAGUCCGUCCUCUCCACAGUCUCUGUCAGAACCAGUUCAGGUCUGUCUCAGUCUCCAUCCUGGACUUCUUUAGGCCUCUGGUAGAAACAGGUGUUUGUGGUUCAUGGAUCUGGUCAAGGUCAGGUCUGUGAUCCAGCUCCUUCAGAAACACUCUCACUGUUCGACAGAUGGUUUGGAUCCUGGUCCUGGUUCAGUCUUGUUCGGUCUGGUUCGGUCUGGUUGAACAGGCUGAUCUGAACAUCAGAGUCUGCAGAGGAAACCUCAGUCUCAGUCUGGACCAGACCUGAACAACAUGGCCUCAACAUUAAGAAGAUAGAGCAAAUAGCUGCCUCCUGAUCCGUCUGAGUUAAUGAACACACUGAGUAAACUGGCAGCUUCAUUCAUCAGACAGUUUGACCACAGUGAAGACAGGAUGAAACAGAUUGUUAGAGAGUUGAAGGAAAUCACUGAGAGAGUGAGAAAGAUGCAGAAGACAACAGACACAGUCAGAACAACAGGAGCUGUUGGAGGAGGAGUAGUACUCACAGUUGGGCUCCUUGCAGCUCCAUUCACUGGAGGGCUGAGCUCAGGAGCAGCAGCAGGAGCAGUAGGUGGAGUUGGUACUGUUGCUGCUGCAAAUAUAACAAAAAAGAUGAAAGAGGAUGGAAGUUUAAAGACAGUAGAAAAAGAAUGGGG
Long non-coding RNA from Lates calcarifer (barramundi perch), 1400 nucleotides. RefSeq lists it as uncharacterized. The transcript has 3 exons. The record is from RefSeq and is a predicted model, not a curated record. NCBI's taxonomy places the organism in Eukaryota, Metazoa, Chordata, Actinopteri, Centropomidae.